GUGAGGACUUGGGAGGUGGAGGGCGGCGUGGCCGGCCCGGCGGGCGCCGUCUCAGCUCGCCGCGCCCCCCACCUCCUCUCUCCUCAG
RNAcentral lists this microRNA precursor (87 nucleotides) under Echinops telfairi (small Madagascar hedgehog). RNAcentral's name for it is "microRNA 1224 (ENSETEG00000023868.1)". It matches the Rfam family "mir-1224 microRNA precursor family". Lineage: Eukaryota; Metazoa; Chordata; Mammalia; Afrosoricida; Tenrecidae. The record is from RNAcentral.